RNAcentral lists this long non-coding RNA (2391 nucleotides) under Aquilegia coerulea. RNAcentral describes it as "long non-coding RNA (ACOE_LNC002340)". Lineage: Eukaryota; Viridiplantae; Streptophyta; Magnoliopsida; Ranunculales; Ranunculaceae. The record is from RNAcentral.
UCGUCGUCAUUCAAUCUCACUUCUUCUUCCUCCCUUACUUUCAAGGAUAUCUCGUUUCUUUCUUUCUUUCGUUUGGAAACUUCUUUGGUAUUUUUCAACUAAUACACUCCAUAAUUGAAUCAAAUAAUCGAUAUAAUUGAAGAAAAUGUGAGAGAAAUUAGGUCAGAGGGAUGAUUGAGUUGAGAGAAGGAACCUGAAAUUGGAAGGAAGAGAGUUCUUUGUUCCAAAGGGAGUGUCUUUGGCCAGCUUCCAUUGAAGCCACUGUGGUUUGUUUCAACUGAUCAUAGAUAUAAUUCGAAGGAUUAGAAAGUGAAUGAAGGUAAUUUUUUUAAAAUUUUUAGCAGUAAAUUUUGCUGGACCAAUAAUCCAAUGCAUUUGAGCUGUGGAUUCAAAUUGAAUAAUACUUCCAAUACUAUAGCCUACAUACUAAGAGUCUAUAUACCUUGGAUAUUUGUAACUUUAUUCUAUUGGACUGGUUGGUAGUUCAUGGCUUUCUGGGUGCACACUACACCAGUUUGGCGGUCUGGGUGUUACCGCAUACCUACAUUGUCCCAAAACAAAAGUAAUCCUAAGAUUUGAUCAGGGACCACACUCCAAAGUCCAACCAUUGUGAUGGUUAACUUGCAAACCUCGCUUAGUUAACAAGUCUACAACUUUGUUAGCUUUGUGGUACACAUGAUUUACACUAUAAUUUAUAAAAUUUAAGUUUUUUUUACAGUCUUCCAAGAAAUUUUUUAAAUGCCAUGCCCUAGUGCAAAAGUAGAGUUUGUUUUGAUUUCCAAUAUGUGUAAUCCCACCUCUGCAAUCAGAUUGUGUAGUCUAUCUCUGAGGGCCCAUAAUUCUGCCAUGUCAAUUGACCACCUCCCAGGCUUCUUUGAUAUCCUGCAAAGAAAACACCAAUACCAUUUCUUAUAACUGCCUCCAUACCUGAGUUUUCUUUAUUUGCUGCUUCGUCUACAUUCAGUUUCCACCAUCCACUUUAAGGUGGAUACCAUCUCACAUAUAUUGUCUUAGGGUGUGUUUGUUUAAAAUGCUGAAUGCUGGAUGCUGAAUGCUGGAUGCUUAAUGCUGGAUACUUAAUGCUGGAUGCUGAACACUGAAUUGCUGGAAAAGUUGUUUGGUUAUCAUUUAUAAGAAGUUCUGUUUUUGAUUUGUUUGUUUAUGCAUAAGGGUGAUUUUGACCAUGUUACCCUAUUAUUGGAAAAGUAUUUUGACAAUACACAGUACCUUAUCACAUAACCCAAAAACCUAAAGUUGAUUUGCACUCUGGUUGCGCAAGUUGACCAUUCAGUGUUGUGCUUCAGAUGAGAAUGUUUCACCCUUAGCCAAAAUAUUUGUGUAACUACACUAUAUUGUUACGUCGUACAAACAGAAAAAUGUUCUAACAACAAAACUAUACACGCCAAUUUUUCUUCUAAAACAUGAUAUUUAAAAAAAAAAAAUCUUAACCUUUUAAACGGCUCGUCUAAAAAUUCUAAAUUUUGGAUAUGGUACAACAGAAAUCGUCAUGAACAAUGGAAAAUAUUUCAAAGUGAACAGACAAAGGAAAGAUCCCUUACUAAGCAAACGAAUCUGACUGUAAUUUUUCUUCUAAAACAUGACAAUCACAAAAAAAAUCUGUAACUUUCAAACGACUCGUUUAAAAAUUCCAAAUUUUGGAUAUGAUACAAUAGAAAUCGUCAGGAACCUAUAGUAAAACUUUUAAAGUGAUCAGACAAAAGAAAGUCUCCUUAUUAAGCAAACGAAUCUGACUAUAACGUAAUUUUUCUUGUAAAACAUAACAACCACAAAAAAAUCUGUAACUUUCAAACCGAUCGUCUAAAAAUUCUAAAUUUUAGAUAUGAUAUAACAAAAAUCUUCAGGAACAUAUGGUAAAAAUUUCAAAGUGAUCAGACAAAGGAAAGGCCAUUAACUAAGCCAAUGAAUCUGACUGUGAUAUUACUUAAUGGUUAUGGAUGAUAAAAACAAUUUUUAUAAGGGUAGAAUUGUCUAAAUAAUACAACAAGCAUUAAGAAGUUAAAUUAAGCGUGAGAUUUUCGCUGGGCCAAAAUCACUGAAAUAUCCCAAUUAGUUCUUAAUACUUGUUCUAAACAAACAACUUAAAAAACACUUAUUUCUGAAUUUUAACCUGGUCCACCACUUAAGAAGCACUUAAUGCUUAAUGCUUAAUGAAACAAACACUACCUUAGUCCCUUUGCCUUACAAUGGUUUGAGAAAGUAUGCUGAAUAUAUUUUAGACCCUGAAUUUGUUUAGAGCCAUACAAUACAUUAUUAGUAGUAAAUGCAUUCAAAUCAUCAUACUGUGAUUUUUUUUUUUUCCUUUUUCUUUCUUAAAUCACGCCUGAUUCUGGAAAGGAAGGAGUUUUGCUGUUACAUUUGACAGUGUGGUUG